CCGGAAUGUCCAUUAUUUGGGGAAUGGCUGAAUAAAGUAUGAUGGAGCAGUCAAAAACUGCAAAGAUAACAACAGAUCAGACUCCCUGGUAUUCAUCUGCAUCCUUCAAGGAUAACAGAUUUCCAAUGUUGCUGGUAGAUGGUGGAUUAGAGGCAGUCACCCAGCUGAAUUCUCCCAGCAUUCCCUUCCAAACAACAUUAAAAUAAAGCCUCAAAUCAAAUUUUGGAGCAACAUCAUCAACAAAAAUUCAGUUUGAGAUAUUUUUCCAACCUAAGAAAAUCUUAGCAGUAGACAGGAAAAGUCUCUGAACCAGCCUGGAGGUCUGGUAGGUAUCUAUCCAGAGACUACACACUCAGUGGCAGCACCAGUGGCCACAGCAGCAACAGCUUCAGAAGUUAACAGGCCAGAAAUAGUUUAGGGGUCAGUCAACUGAUCAAAAAGAGAAGACCCUUUGCUGGCACUGGAU
This is a long non-coding RNA of Gracilinanus agilis (Agile Gracile Mouse Opossum), 466 nucleotides long. RefSeq lists it as uncharacterized. The transcript is spliced from 2 exons. Lineage: Eukaryota; Metazoa; Chordata; Mammalia; Didelphimorphia; Didelphidae. The record is from RefSeq and is a predicted model, not a curated record.